RNAcentral lists this transfer RNA (64 nucleotides) under Enterococcus faecium. RNAcentral's name for it is "tRNA-Met". The record is from RNAcentral. Lineage: Bacteria; Bacillati; Bacillota; Bacilli; Lactobacillales; Enterococcaceae. RNAcentral also lists the same sequence under 1 other name.
AGCUCAGUUGGUUAGAGCAGACGGCUCAUAACCCGUCCGGUCGUAGGUUCGAGUCCUAAAGGGC